This 360-nucleotide ribosomal RNA is filed under the name uncultured Bacteroidales bacterium. RNAcentral describes it as "bacterial SSU rRNA". It matches the Rfam family "Bacterial small subunit ribosomal RNA", at positions 1023 to 1382 of the family's 1533-position model. Lineage: Bacteria; Pseudomonadati; Bacteroidota; Bacteroidia; Bacteroidales. The record is from RNAcentral.
AGGCGACCUGCACAGGUGCUGCAUGGCUGUCGUCAGCUCGUGCCGUGAGGUGUUAGGUUAAGUCCUGCAACGAGCGCAACCCCUGUUUCCAGUUGCCAUCAAGUAAAGUUGGGGACUCUGGAGAGACUGCCUGCGCAAGCAGAGAGGAAGGUGGGGAUGACGUCAAGUCAGCACGGCCCUUACGUCCAGGGCUACACACGUGCUACAAUGGCCGGUACAGAGGGCAGCGACCUGGUGACAGGUAGCGAAUCUCCAAAGCCGGUCUCAGUUCGGAUCGGAGUCUGCAACUCGACUCCGUGAAGCUGGAUUCGCUAGUAAUCGGAUAUCAGCAAUGAUCCGGUGAAUACGUUCCCGGGCCUU